GCCUACGGGGGGCAGCAGUGGGGGAUAUUGCACAAUGGGGGGAACCCUGAUGCAGCGACGCCGCGUGGGUGAAGAAGCGCCUCGGCGCGUAAAGCCCUGUCAGCAGGGAAGAAAAUGACGGUACCUGAAGAAGAAGCCCCGGCUAACUACGUGCCAGCAGCCGCGGUAAUACGUAGGGGGCAAGCGUUAUCCGGAUUUACUGGGUGUAAAGGGGGCGCAGACGGCGAUGCAAGCCAGGAGUGAAAGCCCGGGACCCAACCCCGGGACUGCUCUUGGAACUGCGUGGCUGGAGUGCAGGAGGGGCG
This 305-nucleotide ribosomal RNA is filed under the name uncultured bacterium. Its description in RNAcentral is "partial 16S ribosomal RNA". It matches the Rfam family "Bacterial small subunit ribosomal RNA", at positions 337 to 659 of the family's 1533-position model. The record is from RNAcentral.